UUUCUAGUCUUGUAAUUGGAAUGAGUACAAUUUAAAUCCCUUAACGAGGAACAAUUGGAGGGCAAGUCUGGUGCCAGCAGCCGCGGUAAUUCCAGCUCCAAUAGCGUAUAUUAAAGUUGUUGCAGUUAAAAAGCUCGUAGUUGAAUUUUAGGCCCGGUUGGACGGUCUGCUCUAGGGUUUGUACUGUCCUGACUGGGUCUUACCUUCUGGUGAGCUGUCGUGUUGUUUACUCAGCGCGGCAGGGAACCAGGACAUUUACUUUGAAAAAAUUAGAGUGUUUAAAGCAGGCAUACGCUUGAAUACAUUAGCAUGGAAUAAUAGAAUAGGACUUUGGUUCUAUUUUGUUGGUUUCUAGGACCGAAGUAAUGAUUAAUAGGGAUAGUUGGGGGCAUUAGUAUUUA
Molecule: ribosomal RNA, 401 nt
Filed under: uncultured Mortierella
Lineage: Eukaryota; Fungi; Mortierellomycota; Mortierellomycetes; Mortierellales; Mortierellaceae
Description: SSU rRNA
Rfam family: Eukaryotic small subunit ribosomal RNA
Source: RNAcentral